RNAcentral lists this ribosomal RNA (996 nucleotides) under uncultured organism. RNAcentral's name for it is "bacterial SSU rRNA". It matches the Rfam family "Bacterial small subunit ribosomal RNA", at positions 355 to 1375 of the family's 1533-position model. The record is from RNAcentral.
UGGGGGAUAUUGGACAAUGGGGGCAACCCUGAUCCGGCGACGCCGCGUGAGGGAAGAAGGUUUUCGGAUUGUAAACCUCUGUUGACGGAGAAAAAAAUGAUGGUAUCCGUUUAGAAAGCCACGGCUAACUACGUGCCAGCAGCCGCGGUAAUACGUAGGUGGCAAGCGUUGUCCGGAAUUACUGGGUGUAAAGGGAGUGUAGGCGGGAUAUCAAGUCAGAAGUGAAAAUUACGGGCUCAACUCGUAACCUGCUUUUGAAACUGACAUUCUUGAGUGAAGUAGAGGCAAGCGGAAUUCCUAGUGUAGCGGUGAAAUGCGUAGAUAUUAGGAGGAACACCAGUGGCGAAGGCGGCUUGCUGGGCUUUUACUGACGCUGAGGCUCGAAAGCGUGGGGAGCAAACAGGAUUAGAUACCCUGGUAGUCCACGCCGUAAACGAUGAUUACUAGGUGUGGGGGGAUUGACCCCUUCCGUGCCGGAGUAAACACAAUAAGUAAUCCACCUGGGGAGUACGACCGCAAGGUUGAAACUCAAAGGAAUUGACGGGGGCCCGCACAAGCAGUGGAGUAUGUGGUUUAAUUCGACGCAACGCGAAGAACCUUACCAGGUCUUGACAUCAAGUGACCGCCUAAGAGAUUAGGUUUUCCCUUCGGGGACACAAAGACAGGUGGUGCAUGGUUGUCGUCAGCUCGUGUCGUGAGAUGUUGGGUUAAGUCCCGCAACGAGCGCAACCCUUAUCAUUAGUUGCUACGCAAGAGCACUCUAAUGAGACUGCCGUUGACAAAACGGAGGAAGGUGGGGAUGACGUCAAAUCAUCAUGCCCUUUAUGACCUGGGCUACACACGUACUACAAUGGCGUUUAACAAAGAGAAGCAAAGCCGCGAGGCAGAGCAAAUCUCCAAAAAACGUCUCAGUUCGGAUUGUAGGCUGCAACUCGCCUACAUGAAGUCGGAAUUGCUAGUAAUCGUAGGUCAGCAUACUACGGUGAAUACGUUCCC